GCGUGCUUAACACAUGCAAGUCGAACGGUGAAGCCCAGCUUGCUGGGUGGAUCAGUGGCGAACGGGUGAGUAACACGUGAGUAACCUGCCCCUGACUCUGGGAUAAGCCUUGGAAACGAGGUCUAAUACCGGAUAUGUGACGUUCAGGCAUCUGAUGCGUCUGGAAAGAUUUAUCGGUCAGGGAUGGACUCGCGGCCUAUCAGCUUGUUGGUGGGGUAACGGCCUACCAAGGCGACGACGGGUAGCCGGCCUGAGAGGGCGACCGGCCACACUGGGACUGAGACACGGCCCAGACUCCUACGGGAGGCAGCAGUGGGGAAUAUUGCACAAUGGGCGCAAGCCUGAUGCAGCGACGCCGCGUGAGGGAUGAAGGCCUUCGGGUUGUAAACCUCUUUCAGCAGGGAAGAAGCGCAAGUGACGGUACCUGCAGAAGAAGCGCCGGCUAACUACGUGCCAGCAGCCGCGGUAAUACGUAGGGCGCAAGCGUUGUCCGGAAUUAUUGGGCGUAAAGAGCUCGUAGGCGGUUUGUCGCGUCUGCUGUGAAAACUCGAGGCUCAACCUCGGGCUUGCAGUGGGUACGGGCAGACUAGAGUGCGGUAGGGGAGACUGGAAUUCCUGGUGUAGCGGUGGAAUGCGCAGAUAUCAGGAGGAACACCGAUGGCGAAGGCAGGUCUCUGGGCCGCAACUGACGCUGAGGAGCGAAAGCAUGGGGAGCGAACAGGAUUAGAUACCCUGGUAGUCCAUGCCGUAAACGUUGGGCACUAGGUGUGGGGCUCAUUCCACGAGUUCCGUGCCGCAGCAAACGCAUUAAGUGCCCCGCCUGGGGAGUACGGCCGCAAGGCUAAAACUCAAAGAAAUUGACGGGGGCCCGCACAAGCGGCGGAGCAUGCGGAUUAAUUCGAUGCAACGCGAAGA
Molecule: ribosomal RNA, 915 nt
Filed under: Cellulomonas hominis
Lineage: Bacteria; Bacillati; Actinomycetota; Actinomycetes; Micrococcales; Cellulomonadaceae
Description: bacterial SSU rRNA
Rfam family: Bacterial small subunit ribosomal RNA
Source: RNAcentral